UACGUAGGUGGCAAGCGUUGUCCGGAAUUAUUGGGCGUAAAGCGCACGUAGGCGGACUAUUAAGUCAGGGGUGAAAUCCCGGGGCUCAACCCCGGAACUGCCUUUGAUACUGGUAGUCUUGAGUUCGAGAGAGGUGAGUGGAAUUCCGAGUGUAGAGGUGAAAUUCGUAGAUAUUCGGAGGAACACCAGUGGCGAAGGCGGCUCACUGGCUCGAUACUGACGCUGAGGUGCGAAAGCGUGGGGAGCAAACAGG
This 253-nucleotide ribosomal RNA is filed under the name uncultured bacterium. Its description in RNAcentral is "partial 16S ribosomal RNA". It matches the Rfam family "Bacterial small subunit ribosomal RNA", at positions 524 to 776 of the family's 1533-position model. The record is from RNAcentral.